UGGGGCGUAGCCAAGCGGUAAGGCAGCGGCCUUUGGAGCCGCCAUUCGGAGGUUCGAUCCCUCCCGCCCCAGCAA
RNAcentral lists this transfer RNA (75 nucleotides) under Ignavibacteria bacterium GWC2_56_12. RNAcentral describes it as "tRNA-Gln". It matches the Rfam family "tRNA". From Rfam's summary of the family: Transfer RNA (tRNA) molecules are approximately 80 nucleotides in length. Their secondary structure includes four short double-helical elements and three loops (D, anti-codon, and T loops). Further hydrogen bonds mediate the characteristic L-shaped molecular structure. tRNAs have two regions of fundamental functional importance: the anti-codon, which is responsible for specific mRNA codon recognition, and the 3' end, to which the tRNAs corresponding amino acid is attached (by aminoacyl-tRNA synthetases). tRNAs cope with the degeneracy of the genetic code in two manners: having more than one tRNA (with a specific anti-codon) for a particular amino acid; and 'wobble' base-pairing, i.e. permitting non-standard base-pairing at the 3rd anti-codon position. RNAcentral also lists the same sequence under 1 other name. Lineage: Bacteria; Pseudomonadati; Ignavibacteriota; Ignavibacteria. The record is from RNAcentral.